Sarcophilus harrisii (Tasmanian devil) is the source of this 80-nucleotide non-coding RNA. NCBI's taxonomy places the organism in Eukaryota, Metazoa, Chordata, Mammalia, Dasyuromorphia, Dasyuridae. The record is from Rfam.
UCCCGGAGCCCCUUCUCCCAACCCUCGUACCAGAGUCCAUCCGAGACCCGGUACGGGCUGUGGGGGAUGGGGAGUCGGGG